Araneus ventricosus is the source of this 73-nucleotide non-coding RNA. The record is from the annotation of a GenBank genome assembly. NCBI's taxonomy places the organism in Eukaryota, Metazoa, Arthropoda, Arachnida, Araneae, Araneidae.
GCCACCGUAGCUCAGAGGAUAGAUCUAUGGUCACGUAAACCAGAAAUCGCAAGAUCGAAUCUCGCUGGUGGCU